UCUGUGACAUGAGUUUGAUAACGGAUUGUGAAAUUUUCUGCAGUCUAAAGUUUCACGUUGUCUGCACAUGUACUUUCUUUGGAGACACCAUUUGUCUCCCAACAAAUCGGAAAAUGAUCAAGAUAGUGACUCUGAUUGAUUCACAUAUUGUAUUGACAUAUGACUGUUGACAUUGCUUUUUAGUCUCCAAUAUUUCAGUGAGUUAUGCUUUGGAAAUGACAAUAAAUUUUUAUUACCCAACCCUUGAGUUGUUUUGUUUUUCAUUUACCCAACCUUUCACUCACUCAAAAUUUUGUUUACCCAACCCUUUUCUCUUCGGUGCCACCCCCCGCCAUAAAUAAUGAC
Molecule: non-coding RNA, 345 nt
Organism: Paramuricea clavata
Lineage: Eukaryota; Metazoa; Cnidaria; Anthozoa; Malacalcyonacea; Plexauridae
Source: the annotation of a GenBank genome assembly